UGCUGCUGCUGUGCGUCACCUUCUUCCAGAAACCACCUACAUAUAGCCUAAAAAGAGAUUAACACUUGCUAUAAACCAAGAGCCAGAAAAAAACGACAUUUCAAAUGGAGAAUCUUGCUCAAGCUCUGAAGAAGAUAUUUCUCAAUUUACUGGAAUCCAUGAAAGGCCACAAAAAUUCAUCUACUGAUGCAGAAAAAGGAAAAAAAGCAGCUAAGUCGGAAUCCGUAGAGAAAUUUAAUGUACAAGAGAGAGCAGUGAAGGUGGUAAAGGGUCCAAAACGCCCAACUCCGCCCAAGGGUCCUCCUGCUCAGACUGCUUGAGGCUGCUACUGGUUUUGUUUCUUUCCCCCCUUUUUUUAUGCUUCUGGGUUGCUUCUUUUUAACUCCACUCAUUUUGUAGUGUUGUACUAUUUUGUGUUUUGCUUGUUUUGCUUUUCUUCCUCUGAUGUAGACAAAUUAUUUUGUUGUUUUCAAAAACUUCAAUUGUUGUCUUGUGGUUGUAGUGAUUAUCACUGAUCGCCAAGCUCAUGAGUUUUUCGUUAGUA
This is a long non-coding RNA of Jatropha curcas, 544 nucleotides long. RefSeq lists it as uncharacterized. Lineage: Eukaryota; Viridiplantae; Streptophyta; Magnoliopsida; Malpighiales; Euphorbiaceae. The record is from RefSeq and is a predicted model, not a curated record.